CCUACGGGUGGCAGCAGUGGGGAAUAUUGCGCAAUGGGCGAAAGCCUGACGCAGCGACGCCGCGUGAGGGAUGAAGGUCUUCGGAUCGUAAACCUCUGUCAGCAGGGAAGAACGGUCACUGUGCUAAUAAGCAGUGAAUUGACGGUACCUGCAGAGGAAGCAACGGCUAACUCCGUGCCAGCAGCCGCGGUAGUAAGGAGGGUGCGAGCGUUAAUAGGAAUUAUUGGGCGUAAGGCGCUCGUAGGCGGUAUGUCAAGUUAAGGGUGAAAUCCCCGCGCUCAACGGGGGAACUGCCUUUGAAACUGGCAAACUGGAGUGUGUGAGAGGAUGGUGGAAU
RNAcentral lists this ribosomal RNA (337 nucleotides) under uncultured bacterium. RNAcentral describes it as "partial 16S ribosomal RNA". It matches the Rfam family "Bacterial small subunit ribosomal RNA", at positions 338 to 667 of the family's 1533-position model. The record is from RNAcentral.